RNAcentral lists this long non-coding RNA (2577 nucleotides) under Sus scrofa (pig). Its description in RNAcentral is "lncRNA (ENSSSCG00055026720.1)". Lineage: Eukaryota; Metazoa; Chordata; Mammalia; Artiodactyla; Suidae. The record is from RNAcentral.
AUGAGAGUCUGUCUUUGCUCCUCCGUCCAGUGCUGGUCAGCAUCUGCAUACUGUGUUCUCCCCGUGGAAGUGCCGCCUCUUCGGCAUUUGGGAAAGAGGACGGGGCGGCAGGACUAUCACAGUCAGAAGCCGGUUCCCUCUCGGGGUGGCCCCUCUGCGUGGGGACCUGAGAUGGAGACGAAAUCCUGGAGAUCAGGGGCCCUCGGUGCCCCGCGGCGCCCUUCGCUGGGAGGCAGAGGGACGAUGGACAGCACAGAAGGGGAUGGCGGCUGGAGCCGGACUCUGGGCUGCAGGAUGUGGAGACGGAGGCAGGGGCUCAGGCCAGAGCCCGAGAGGCUGAAACAGAAGAGGCGCUUCUGUGCAGCCCAGUGGAGCGCAGUGCUUCUGACCGCGGCCUCCCAGCCCCUGGACACGACAAGAAGAAAGGUGGCCUCAAGUCCCUGCGUCCGUGGGAAGGGGUGACAGCAGCGCAGGAAGCCCAGACGGGGCGUGGGGGUCAGCCGAGGGCCAAGGUGACUCUUCUCAGCCUCCCCUGAAGCUGCCCGACGUCCUGGGUCCGACCCAUGGGAGCCCCUGCGGGCAGGGCAGCCACCUCUGGAGAGUCUUCCUGGAGGAAGGGCCCGACCCCCGUCCUUCCUACCGGCGGGGCCCACGGGUCCCCUGGGAUGUGCAGCCAUCGGCACCAGGAGGUGAAUCUGGGGGUCAAGUCUAUGCACGGCGGUCAACAAGACGGGAGAAGCCUGGGACCAGACCCGGAGCUCCCCUGCCCCGGGCUGCCUGCCCCGUAUCUCACGUCUGGGAGCGUCCACUGUGUUCUGUUGACACAAGGGCCGGCGGGCCUGUCCCUCAGCCCACUCUGAUCACCACGAGACAAACAGGUCGCCGGCACGGCUCCUCGUCCGCCUUCUCCCCAGGGCCCUGGGCAGCGCCUGGGUUUCUUCCUCACGACAGCUUCAAGGACCAGCUUCACGACCUAAAUGCAAGGUCCCUCCCAGACCACCCGCCUCCCACUUUAGGGGAAAAUAGGAGAAGGAGUGAGCCUGCCCCCCUGUGAACUCGCUUCACCUCUAAAGUUUCCCCAGGCGUUGGGCUGCUUGGAAUCACGGAUCAGUAUUUCUUUGCUCUUUCUUUGGACGGUUGUCUUUAAUUUCAUGUUCGUCUCGCGGUGUGCAUCGCCGGCUCGUGGGAGAUGGGAGCCUGCUCUCUAGGGAUACAGCUGCGUCCGCACCGCCAGCGUUGCUCUCAGCGUAGCAUUUUACGGGGGCACGUGCGCCCCUCUGAUGGCCUCUUACUCGAGCGUCUUAAAAACCUAACAGUAGUGCGAUUCACGAAGUCCCACAUCCCUGAAGCGCGUUUUUCCUUCUGUUGAUGGAACAAAGGCUUCCAUUGCUUUCAUGACUUAGUUUCCAAAUGUCUCUUUGUGAGGCCAGCGGAGAUGGAGUUACAAGUGUUGGCGUCUGGCUGGUGACCCAACACAUCCCGCUCGCCCGGAGUGAGAGGAGAUUAAAGCCGGCCCUUGGAUGCCAGUGCUGCGGGAAUUUGGAGAAACGCACCGACAGUAACGGCGGCAUUUAAUUAUGUGCAGCUUAUCGUGGUGUGAUGACUAAAGCCCUUGAGACGCUUGUGAAAACAGAUUCCGCGGCCCGGGUUUGUACCGUCCUGUCUUGAACCCGGCCAGGAAAAGACAUGUCUUCUUUUUCCCUUUCCUCAGCAUCUUGGCACCGUCAGUUCCCAUCCCCGCCAAGAUCUCGCAGCGCAGAGAGCGGCGAUUGAGAAGAGCUCUUUUAAAAGGCCGACUGCACAGUGGUUGGCUUGGGCCUGGAGAUGACUCUUCAGCCCCGCUCUUUCAGCGGCCUGCUUUCGGCGGGUUCCGCCAGCUGCCUCGCGAGGAUGACGGCUCGUUAUCCCUUCCCUGGCCCUUGGCGCCCCGCAAGCCAUGUUUCCUCGCUGACGGGGUGGCGCUAACUGAGUAUGACCUUUGCAGAAAUAGGUCGCAGAGGGUCAGCGUUUCCUAAUCGAAUGUGAUGUUUGAAUUCAAUGAAUUGGACUGACUUAGAUUAUUUUCCUUUUUAGAGCCGCACUUGCACCUGACGUAAGUUCCUGGACCAGGGGUCGAUUUGGCGCUGUAGCUGCCGGCCUACGCCACACAGCAGCAUGGGAUCCAAGCCACCUCUGUGACCCCCACCACAGCUUGUGGCCACACUGGAUCCUUAACCCACUGAGCAAGACCGAGGAUCGGACCUGCACCCUCACGACACGAUGUCAGGUUCUUAACCCACUGAGCGACGGUGGAAACGCCUAGAUUUUUAAACUGAGUACUGUUUCUCUGAGAUUUUGUGUCUUUGAAAGAAACUUACCUGUAACUUUAAAGAUUGCGCGAGGUUGGUGAGCAGCUCUGUGCUCACACAGGCGUGUCCAGGGUGCUUGGGAAACCGCACAGCUUUAGUGGGAGGUUAAGUUUCCCAAAGUCAAGGGCUGGACAAGGGGCCUCUCAGUGCACAUCUCGAAAGGCUAAAGAAACGGACAGAACGUUGUAAAUCAACUAAAAUAAAUUUUUAAAAAGAAAAGGAAAAAACA